AACGAACGCUGGCGGCAUGCCUAACACAUGCAAGUCGAACGAGAUCUUCGGGUCUAGUGGCGCACGGGUGCGUAACGCGUGGGAAUCUGCCCUUUGGUUCGGAAUAACAGUUGGAAACGACUGCUAAUACCGGAUGAUGACGAAAGUCCAAAGAUUUAUCGCCAGAGGAUGAGCCCGCGUAGGAUUAGCUAGUUGGUGUGGUAAAGGCGCACCAAGGCGACGAUCCUUAGCUGGUCUGAGAGGAUGAUCAGCCACACUGGGACUGAGACACGGCCCAGACUCCUACGGGAGGCAGCAGUGGGGAAUAUUGGACAAUGGGCGAAGGCCUGAUCCAGCAAUGCCGCGUGAGUGAUGAAGGCCUUAGGGUUGUAAAGCUCUUUUACCCGGGAUGAUAAUGACAGUACCGGGAGAAUAAGCUCCGGCUAACUCUGUGCCAGCAGCCGCAGUAA
This 449-nucleotide ribosomal RNA is filed under the name uncultured bacterium. RNAcentral describes it as "partial 16S ribosomal RNA". It matches the Rfam family "Bacterial small subunit ribosomal RNA", at positions 29 to 523 of the family's 1533-position model. The record is from RNAcentral.